CUGACACAGGGAGGUAGUGACAAAAAAUACCAAUACAGGGCAUUACAUGUCUUGUAAUUGGAAUGAGAACAAUUUAAAUCCCUUAUCGAGGAUCCAUUGGAGGGCAAGUCUGGUGCCAGCAGCCGCGGUAAUUCCAGCUCCAAUAGCGUAUAUUAAAGUUGUUGCAGUUAAAAAGCUCGUAGUCGGAUUUUGGCAUCACGCCGAACUGUCUGCCGAUUGGUAAGUACGGUUUGGCGGGUGCUUCCUUCCGGAGGCUCGUUCCCUUCUUCAUUGAAGGGUUCGUUGGUUCCGGGUCUUUUACUUUGAGAAAAUUAGAGUGUUCAAAGCAGGCCUAUGCUCUGAAUAGGUUAGCAUGGAAUAAUAGAAUAGGACUUUGGUUCUAUUUUGUUGGUUUCUAGGACCGAAGUAAUGAUUAAUAGGGACAGUUGGGGGCAUUCAUAUUCCAUUGUCAGAGGUGAAAUUCUUGGAUUAACGGAAGAUGAACUUCUGCGAAAGCAUCUGCCAAGGAUGUUUUCA
RNAcentral lists this ribosomal RNA (516 nucleotides) under uncultured picobiliphyte. Its description in RNAcentral is "SSU rRNA". It matches the Rfam family "Eukaryotic small subunit ribosomal RNA", at positions 451 to 972 of the family's 1831-position model. The record is from RNAcentral. Lineage: Eukaryota; Picozoa.